CCUCGUUUUAAUAUUGUUGUGUGUAAACUAAAAUCACUCCCAUAUUAAAACUGUCACUUCGAAGGUGACCAAGUCAUUGCGACUGAGCUGCUAAGCAAUGGGCAACAAGCGACGACAAUAACCUUCGCGUUAGCUUGUUAGCAUUCAAUGCUGACGGAUAGUCCUGGCAUUGCUCCACCAAUCCGCGUUGAGACGGUCGGAGGCGGAAGUGACUGUCGAAUGCUCGAGGCGCCAAAAUCGAAGCGUGAAAAGUGCGAGAUAAGGAAUACAAUAAGUAUCGAAUAUACAGUUGAGAGAUUUGAUAUCUGGACUGGAGGUGGGUUGUGGGAAGUGGACUGCAUAGGUCUCGGCCGACGGCCUAUAUGGGCCCGGUACGACGAGACCGGUGCGCCACGACCUGCAACAAACCAAAAGAGACACGAAGAGCUGGUGGCGGUGGUGCGGAGGGAGCUGAAGUGCGAGUGCAACCAAACUGUACCGUGAGUGUAACAAAGGGCUGUAGCUUAGAUGAUGUGAUCGACGAAGGGGCAGAUGAGAUUGAGUACACACAGGUUAAAAUAGCAAGGAAACAGUCAUGAUCAGGAGCAAGUAGCGGAAAAGAUCAUGAUGGAAGACAAACAAAGAAAAAGAUACGAGCUAAAACAAAUGGCAAAGAAGAGUCAGAUGAAGAAUGCAAAGUUCUUAUUACAAUGAGCAAAGAUAAAGGACAUUUUCACCCAGUUCAUCUGACUAAAGCAAUUGAAAAAGAAAUAGGGAAAGUUAAAUACGCCAAAAUGCUCAAUAACAGAAGAAUACUAAUAUCGACAGCAAGAAAACAUGAGGUUGAAAUACCUUGAUGGAGGAGAAAUAAAAGUACACAUACCAGGAGAGGCAGCAGCAAUAAGAGGAGUUCUAUCAAACGUACCGAUGGAAAUGUCCAUGGAUGAGGUGAAGAGAGAAAUAAGAGGUGGCAAAAUAACAGAAGCUAGACGACUCCAAACCAGCAGAGGAGGAGUAAAAAGUGACAGUUUGUCGGUAUUACUUGUAUUUGAAAAGACAAUACCGACAGACAUACGUAUAGGGGGUAUGAAUUUUAGGGUGAGGGAGUACAUUCCUCAACCACUAAGAUGUUAUAAAUGUCAGAGAAUGGGACACACAGCACAGCAAUGCCAGUGGAGGCAAAGGUGUGCAAAGUGUGGUGGAUUGUUUGUGGAGGAGAACAUAGUGCCGCAUAUGGCGGCUGUGAAGUGCAAAGACAUGCCAAAGAAGUGCAAAAAUACAAAAGAGAAAAUAAGGUAUCAUAUGCUGAAGCAGUAAAGAGUAUAGGUAUGUGUGUAAUUAAGCAAAAUAAACCAGUAGAGAAUCAGGAAACUCAUAUAGACCAGACAGGACAAGCAGUAGGACUUCCUCAGAGAACAGACCAUAGAAGAUCUCAAUUAGAAUGGACUGCUCCCCAACAGAAAUGUAAUCAUAAGUGUGCAAUUGAAGAAGACACAUUAGUAGUAAAUAAAAAGAACUUUGUAGCUUUUAUAUGUAAAGUCAUCAGUGUGGCCACGAGGCAGCAAAGGAAAAGUGACAGAACAAUAUUUAAACAUCAAAGACGUGAAAGCAGAAGGCCCACAGCAAAUUGAGGAGUGUUAAUUUUUUGGUGUUGAUGAGAAUCUUGAAGUUGGAGUGUCAAUCUUACACUAUUUGGAGUUGAUGUAACACUGCAUUUUCUUAAAAAUGUGUAAAUUUAACACCGGAUCAUGAAAGUGUUGUAGUUAAAAUGGAAUGUUGAAAAUGUUCAAAUCUUGUUGGUGUCACCAUAAAAACAUCCAACACUUCCACACUCCAUUUGACGCCUAACAGUGUUCACGUGUUUUAAGCUCCGCCCACGGACAUUUCAUUUAGACUCCACCCCUCACUUCACGUUGCUGAAAUGAAAAGCAGAUGGAAGAAGUUGACAAUUAGGAAUCAUUUUGCAUCAGUAGUUAUAUUUUCUAUUUAGUGUUGCUGUGAGCUGAAUCGGCACUGCCUGUGCAACAUUUGUCAAAGAGGAGCCCCCAGCAAAGGACUUGAUAUGCUGUACAAGAUACAAGAUAUCAAGAAUGAUGCAUCUGUAUUUUUCUUCUUGGGUCAUAGAAAACCUUUGCUUGAGUCUUACAUGAAUGUGAGGUGGAUGGGGAUGUCUUUGAUGAACUUGUCAAGUCAGGUGUUUUGACUUUCAAGGUCCUUUUAUCAGUGACAGGUAAGGAUGUGAAAACAUUUGAAAAUGCAUGAGGUGGUUUAGAUAUUACAAGCAGUGUGGACCCAUCAGGUACCUUGGUUUUGUCCAAAUGAGAUAUUGUUGUCAUGAUCUUUGAGGCCUCAAAAUGUAUUUUUGGUCUCACUUUACAAUAAGGUACGCAAAAAUACAGUAGUUACUGAGGAAGUAAUUACUAAAGCACAGAUUUACAGUAGUAGAGGAUCUAAUGAACUAAAAAGGAACCAAUGAGCAGAGUAGUUACUGAGGAACUAAAACACAUUUAGAGUAGUUACUAAGAAACUAAUGAGUAGUGGAUAAGGUUAGAUAGGUUUGUUCCUCAUCCUGCAUGACUGUAAUUUUGUGUACCUUAUUGUAAAGUGAGACAGUAUUUUCAUUUGAUAUUCAAUUUUUAGCCCCUUUUCCAUAGGUUGAAAUUCCCCAAAAUUAUUUUUUUUGUUUUCGUAGUAAUUAGUGUUUUGUACUGUUUUGUCAUUUGACUGGAGAUGAAGCAGACUCCACUAUCCCCAGCUUCACCCCAGUUAUCGCCAGUUGGUGGCGAUAACAGGUUCGACAAUUUAUCCUUCAGCCCACAAGAAAGAGGAACCCAACAGAACCAAUGGAUCAGGAUGAAUCAAGACAGAAAGUCGGUGGUGUUUUGAGGGCCAAUCCGAAAGAUGGUGAACAUCCUGGUUGCAGAUAUGAUGGAGCUGCAUGGGUCACUUCCCCCUUUCCAUUAGAACAGUCAUUCCAGACUGUCAUCAACUGCAGUAAGACCAUGUACUGUGGGAAUGGUUCUGUCUGUGAUCAUUAACUAUGAUGUGUUUUGAAAGGAGGGUUUCACCAUCAUGUGUGAUGACAAAUUGCGCCCUGGAGGUAGAGCAGGUCGUCCAGAAAUCGUAAGGUUGGUUGGAUCCUUGCUCCCUCCACCGAGUCACUGUUGUGUCCUACACUUCUCUUGGCUCUCAAAGUUGUUCCAAGACUGUUUCUUCAUGAUGGUCCAAAAACCAGAGGAGAAUAUCUGUUAACUGGUCAACAGCUGCUUGGUGAGGAGUGCAGGGAGGCACUAUCUACAAUAAGACAUUCAACCGAUGAAUCCAUGGUCAAAGGCGAUGAGAGCAACUUUCCAGUAUCGGCAGAAUAUGAUCCAAGCACAAGAUGUAUCAUCGUCUGUCCUCAAUGUGUUCCCUCGCUUCCUUGAUGUUCCUGGAUUGAUUGACCAGGAUUUCUCAGUGAUGUUUGCUGAUGAAGUAUCUCAGAGGUUCCUGGCUAAGUGGUCAACUGUCUUCAAAGCAAAAGUCAUUGCAGACUGCAAGACUCUCCUGCAAAAGCAGAACAUUGAUGAGUUGCUGUCAGGAACUGAACCUCAACCUGAUGACAGCUGUGGCUGGGGCAGUGAUACAUCCUGCAACCUUCUACUCCUGCAUCUGCUCCCUCCGACUUCAAGAGGCCAGGAAAAAACAGCAAAGAUCAGUUUGGCUCAAGCAGCCAACCAUCUUCUCAGACAUCUUAAGGAAGGAGCCAGUGUGACCCCCUUCCAAGACUGUUGACACAAGACAAGCAUUUCUCCUCUGCAUCAGUGAGCGAAGGUGACAUCCAGAGGUUCUACAUGAUUGACCAAAAGCCGAUUACAUGCAAGGCACAUACAUUUAUUGCAGCUCUGAAGUUGAUUCCCAAGCAUACAAAACAUUGGCCCUCUUAUCCAUACGUGGUGCAAGUGUUUUGAAGCCAAACACAAUUCUUUCAAAAGGUGUGGUUAAAAUUUUCAAAAAUCUCAAGUCGUUUGUCAUGGCCUUUCAGUAUGAAAAUUAUUAUUUUAGAAGAUUUGCAUUUGGCCCUACAUCAAAAACAAUCUGCAACUUAAAAGGUGGGGAGGAACGUGGUCAGGCAUGAUGUUUGCAAGCAUCUUCCAAGUGUGUCAAGUACCAACUGGGUGAGAAGCUACGGUAUAGAGUACCAUGUUGGUGUGUUCAUAUGUACUGGAUGUAGCUUUGAUCUACCUGUGUUCAAGAAGAUCUGUGAUAUAAUAAAACACAAAGAAUGUGCUUUCAUAAUAGCUGUAAUGUAGAAAUAAUGUACUAUGAUGACCUGUUUAACGCGUACUGCAUAGAAGACCAAAUGCUUGAGUUUUCUGUCAUGUUUAAAUGAACUAAUUUCAGACCAUUUGACAAGCAGUGCUCUAAUGACAGUUGUCAAAGAGCAUACAUACUGUAGUGCCUGCUGUUAUUUAAGCUACUGUCUGUUGGAAAUGAAAAGUUUUUGAAUAAAAUGUAUGA
Molecule: long non-coding RNA, 4479 nt
Organism: Dunckerocampus dactyliophorus (ringed pipefish)
Lineage: Eukaryota; Metazoa; Chordata; Actinopteri; Syngnathiformes; Syngnathidae
Exons: 10
Source: RefSeq, a predicted model, not a curated record